RNAcentral lists this long non-coding RNA (1484 nucleotides) under Homo sapiens (human). RNAcentral's name for it is "non-protein coding KRTAP5-AS1:7". The record is from RNAcentral. Lineage: Eukaryota; Metazoa; Chordata; Mammalia; Primates; Hominidae.
ACCCCGGGACCGGCUCUUAAAGGGACCACGCGGCGUCCGGGACCCCGCCUCCAGGAAGCCCUCCCGGCCCCGGGCCCCGCGUCACCCAGGCCCCCCGUCACCCGGGCCCCCGGCCGCGUCGCACAGACCCCGGACGGUCCAGCUGAGCGGCUCCGGGCGCGAAGUCCUCCCCCCGACCCGGACAGGCGCCGGCGCCGCUCCCCCCUUCUCCUGGCCUUUGUUGGCGCUGGGCCGCCGCCGGGGAGCCCUCCCCAGACCCAGGCGCGGCGUUUUACCUGCAGCGGCUGUGCUCGCCCCGCCGCGACCCCCGCAGGACGGAGCCGGAUCCCCCUGCACUCGGGCGGACCUGGGACCCUCAGAGGCGAGCCGGCUGCCUCGGGUCACACAUCCGCGAACUCCGGGGGCGGGCUCCCCAGGACGCCGCCGACCCCCCACGACCCCCAGCCCUCCCGCUUCCGUGGAAAGCCGCCCCGACGACCCCUGUGCGGGCUGUUGAGGGGCCGCACCCCGCCGACCGCUGUGGGAACACCUCCGCGCGUGCGGCGGGGACGCGGCGAGUCCGGGGCAGGAAGAACGCACGGGUAAUUGCACCUUCGGCAGGUGUUGGGCGGGAGCAAGGGGGUCAGACUCGCGCUGCAGGGGGAGGGCGGGGGAGGCCUCGCUGUCCUGGAGGAAGGGGACAAAGACCCCUGCCCAGGAGCCUGGGAGCCUUUGAAAGUAAUGAUUUUUUGGCGGGGGGGGGUUGUCACGAGACACCCUAGACAUUUCUAAAAGGCCCCCUCCCCGCUGCCGGGUGGAGAGGGAGCGUGGGGGGAUCCGCCUUCUGCCCCCGAGCCCCCAGCCAGCCUGGGCCCCCCAGGGUCACCCUGGGGCUCUGAAGGGGGCUUCGGCCGCUGGUUGAAUGAAGGGCCACAGAAAAUGAAGCUGGCGCAACGACCGCAGAACCCUCAGUGGGCACCAGGACCACGGAGCUCAGGGUGCCAAUGGUGAUGGCUGGGGGUGGGGAGUACUGUGGGCAGCAGGGGAUGCUGAGCGGGGUUUGGGGCUCCCCCUUUCCAUACUCAGUCUUCCUGCCAGCCUCAGAGCUGAGUACACCGUUGGCGAUUAAUAAGCGCUUGCAGCUCCCUUCCCUGGCCAGCCUGAGGGGAGCGGCAGUGGCCCGUAUGGGGUGGGGGUGGCGGUGGAGUGCGUCCUGGCGCAGAGCUGGCACACAGCACAAACAAACGCCUUGGCGGGAGUGGGUCUGUCCCGGAAGGGAGCCCAGGGGUUAUUGGGGUUGGGGCUGCGCCCCAAAGCGGGAGGGCCCUGCGAGAAGGGAGGCCCUGGCUGGAGGGGGACCCUGAGACUGGAGGUGCCGGACCCGGAUGCGGGGCCAGAUGGAGACAACAGGAAGGAAAGAGACCUUCCUGGUCACACUUGGGCCACAGGAGAACAGGCAGCGGCCCAGGAGGAUCCAGGGUCCUGAUGGUGGUUGAGAAGCUGGU